This 559-nucleotide long non-coding RNA is filed under the name Pan troglodytes (chimpanzee). Its description in RNAcentral is "long non-coding RNA NONPTRT010034". Lineage: Eukaryota; Metazoa; Chordata; Mammalia; Primates; Hominidae. The record is from RNAcentral.
UUUUUUUGUUGUUAAAUGCCAGAUUUCAGCUAACAUCUUGAUAAGAAUUACAAAGCCUGUCACCAAGAGCUCAAGAGAUUGGAUACUCCUGGAUAAACUGUAAGGUCACUUCUAAAUCAAUGAUCCUGUGAUUUUUCCUCCUUGCCACCGGAAAGGCCAAAGCUGUAGUCUUAAUAAUAAUAUGCGCAAUCUUCACCCCAUCUUUUCUCUAAGUAUGUGGGCAUGGGAAAGAAAAGCUAUGGACGCCUCUAGGGAUGCAGGUAAAGGUAUCAACAGCAGGAUGAACUACAGGAGUUCAGACAGCCUUUCAGGUUUGGGUGAUGAGGGAGGACUACAGGUAAGAAUGACACGGGGCAAAGAUGGAAAAGGAAAGAUGAUACAGUUGGAUGGGGAAGAGGAGAGCCAAAAGGUGGUGUGAGUGCGUUUAACAGUGUAGUAGGUUACUUCCAACCCAUGUGAAAAAGUUUAGCUGUGAUGCUCACAUAACUAAAUCUUAUGAAACUAAUUUCAGUAAAUGAGGUGUGAUUUUUAAAAAGAUUCCUUUUAAGAAGUAUAUUUC